GCCUACGGGGGGCAGCAGUAGGGAAUCUUCCACAAUGGGCGAAAGCCUGAUGGAGCAACGCCGCGUGGGUGAAGAAGGUCUUCGGAUCGUAAAACCCUGUUGUUAGAGAAGAAAGUGCGUGAGAGUAACUGUUCACGUUUCGACGGUAUCUAACCAGAAAGCCACGGCUAACUACGUGCCAGCAGCCGCGGUAAUACGUAGGUGGCAAGCGUUAUCCGGAUUUAUUGGGCGUAAAGGGGACGCAGGCGGUCUUUUAAGUCUGAUGUGAAAGCCUUCGGCUUAACCGGAGUAGUGCAUUGGAAACU
This 305-nucleotide ribosomal RNA is filed under the name uncultured bacterium. Its description in RNAcentral is "bacterial SSU rRNA". It matches the Rfam family "Bacterial small subunit ribosomal RNA", at positions 337 to 634 of the family's 1533-position model. The record is from RNAcentral.